Long non-coding RNA from Austrofundulus limnaeus, 939 nucleotides. RefSeq lists it as uncharacterized. Lineage: Eukaryota; Metazoa; Chordata; Actinopteri; Cyprinodontiformes; Rivulidae. The record is from RefSeq and is a predicted model, not a curated record. The transcript is spliced from 3 exons.
AUUUGAGAACAUAUCAAACUUGACUUUUUUUUGCACAGACUCAAAGGAAAAAAAUAUCUGCUCCAAAUGAAAUCUGUGAGGAAAUGUUCUGUUGUGUAAUCCAAACAAACAGAAUGAAGCCUGAGUUUAUCUUGAAAUGCAGAGGAGAUCAGUUUGAAACAUGCUCUGUGAGACUGGAUCCAUCUGUGGCACCGGUGAGAGGGAUGAAAUCCAUCUGAAAUGCUUUAUUCAGAUGUUAGAGGAUGUUUGCAGGGAUUUGUACAUGCAGUUGAAACUAAAGUGAAGUUUGGGACAACAGCGACCUCUGCUGACAGCUUUAACUAAGUUCACGUUUACACUUUCUCCAAGUGGAGGAACAUGAUGAGCAGGUUUUAAAUUUAUGUAUUAAUGUUUGUUUUUUGAAAUUGCUGGGUAGCAACAACCACAACCUGUGACCUCAUGUAACAGAUAAAACAAAUGAAACUAAACAGUCUCAGAUAACUUUCCCCCCAAAUUCAACUUUUUGGAUUAAAAUCCCUGCACACAGACUCACUUUGUCACUUAGAUUUUUCAUAGCAUAUAUUUGUGAAACAGAGAUUGCUACAUUGCUCUAUUUAUUAUCCUGUGUAUCCAGUCUCUCAUCUCCUGUCUGUUCAUUCAGUAGAGUAUUCACUGAGUUUGACUCACUCAAUCAACAUCACGAGGAACACCUGUGUCAGCUUUUAAUUACUUCCACAAAUACAGCAAAACAGUCAUUACACAGAACAGUCCUUAUCAGAUGAUUAAUUUUUUGUAAUGUUGGGACUCGGGAGGCGAACCAACUCAGCUGCCGAUCAGGCGAGAACACAAGGAAAAAAAAAAACCUUCACAUUUGAAGAUGUAAUCAAAUGGAACUGGGAUUGGAACAAUUUCAUGACAAGCUUGGAGCCAAGAACUCCAGGUGAAUCUCAUCCACCCCCG